AGUAGAAUUGCUGGAUCACAUGGUAACUCUAUUUAAUUUUUUUUUAAGGAACUAUCAUACUUUUAUAUAAUGGCUGUACCAUAUUUACAUUUCUACUAGCAGU
This 103-nucleotide microRNA precursor is filed under the name Marmota monax (woodchuck). The record is from RNAcentral. Lineage: Eukaryota; Metazoa; Chordata; Mammalia; Rodentia; Sciuridae.